GAUGAAGAACGUAGCGAAAUGCGAUAAGUAAUGCGAAUUGCAGAAUCCGUGAGUCAUCGAAUCUUUGAACGCACAUUGCGCCCCCUGGUAUUCCGGGGGGCAUGCCUGUCCGAGCGUCAUUGCUGCCCUCAAGCACGGCUUGUGUGUUGGGCCCCGUCCUCCGAUCCCGGGGGACGGGCCCGAAAGGCAGCGGCGGCACCGCGUCCGGUCCUCGAGCGUAUGGGGCUUUGUCACCCGCUCUGUAGGCCCGGCCGGCGCUUGCCGAUCAACCCAAAUUUUUAUCCAGGUUGACCUCGGAUCAGGUAGGGAUACCCGCUGAACUUAAGCAUAUCAAUAAGCGGAGGA
This 345-nucleotide unclassified non-coding RNA is filed under the name soil metagenome. RNAcentral's name for it is "partial contains 5.8S ribosomal RNA, internal transcribed spacer 2, and large subunit ribosomal RNA". The stretch from base 1 to 119 matches the Rfam family "5.8S ribosomal RNA", at positions 35 to 154 of the family's 154-position model. The record is from RNAcentral.